This 253-nucleotide ribosomal RNA is filed under the name uncultured bacterium. RNAcentral describes it as "partial 16S ribosomal RNA". It matches the Rfam family "Bacterial small subunit ribosomal RNA", at positions 524 to 776 of the family's 1533-position model. The record is from RNAcentral.
UACGUAGGGGGCUAGCGUUGUCCGGAUUUACUGGGCGUAAAGCGUGCGUAGGUGGUUCGUUAAGUCUGAUGUGAAAGCCCUGGGCUCAACCUGGGAAUGGCAUUGGAAACUGGCGACCUAGAGUGCGGUAGAGGGCAGUGGAAUUCCCGGUGUAGCAGUGAAAUGCGUAGAGAUCGGGAGGAACAUCUGUGGCGAAGGCGACUGCCUGGACCAGCACUGACACUGAGACACGAAAGCGUGGGGAGCAAACAGG